AUUGAACGCUGGCGGCACGCUUAACACAUGCAAGUCGAGCGGUAACAUGAUCUGUAGCAAUACAGAUUGAUGACGAGCGGCGGACGGGUGAGUAACACGUAGGAACCUGCCCAAAAGCGGGGGAUAACCAAGGGAAACUUUGGUUAAUACCGCGUAAUCUCGAGAGAGGAAAGCUGCCCGCAAGGGUGAUGCUUUUGGAGGGGCCUGCGCCCGAUUAGCUAGUUGGUGAGGUAAUAGCUCACCAAGGCGAUGAUCGGUAACUGGUCUGAGAGGACGACCAGUCACACUGGGACUGAGACACGGCCCAGACUCCUACGGGAGGCAGCAGUGGGGAAUCUUGGACAAUGGGGGCAACCCUGAUCCAGCGAUGCCGCGUGGGUGAAGAAGGCCUUCGGGUUGUAAAGCCCUUUAGGUCGGGAAGAAGUGUGUAGGCUGAAUAAUCCUAUACAUUGACGGUACCGACAGAAUAAGCACCGGCAAACUCUGUGCCAGCAGCCGCAGUAA
Molecule: ribosomal RNA, 504 nt
Filed under: uncultured bacterium
Lineage: Bacteria
Description: partial 16S ribosomal RNA
Rfam family: Bacterial small subunit ribosomal RNA
Source: RNAcentral